GCCAUCAGAUGUGCCCAGAUGGGAUUAGCUAGUAGGUGGGGUAAUGGCUCACCUAGGCGACGAUCCCUAGCUGGUCUGAGAGGAUGACCAGCCACACUGGAACUGAGACACGGUCCAGACUCCUACGGGAGGCAGCAGUGGGGAAUAUUGCACAAUGGGCGCAAGCCUGAUGCAGCCAUGCCGCGUGUGUGAAGAAGGCCUUCGGGUUGUAAAGCACUUUCAGCGAGGAGGAAGGGUAGUGUGUUAAUAGCACAUUUCAUUGACGUUACUCGCAGAAGAAGCACCGGCUAACUCCGUGCCAGCAGCCGCGGUAAUACGGAGGGUGCAAGCGUUAAUCGGAAUUACUGGGCGUAAAGCGCACGCAGGCGGUUUGUUAAGUCAGAUGUGAAAUCCCCGCGCUUAACGUGGGAACUGCAUUUGAAACUGGCAA
Molecule: ribosomal RNA, 430 nt
Filed under: Serratia sp. VK17
Lineage: Bacteria; Pseudomonadati; Pseudomonadota; Gammaproteobacteria; Enterobacterales; Yersiniaceae
Description: bacterial SSU rRNA
Rfam family: Bacterial small subunit ribosomal RNA
Source: RNAcentral